Molecule: long non-coding RNA, 364 nt
Organism: Mus pahari (shrew mouse)
Lineage: Eukaryota; Metazoa; Chordata; Mammalia; Rodentia; Muridae
Exons: 3
Source: RefSeq, a predicted model, not a curated record
AGCUUUGAGUUCAGUCUGCUGGGAUCUAGGGCCCCUUUCUUUUCACUACACUAAGGCAGCUGAAAUGAGUAGAGGGGAGAAAAAAGAAGAUUUGAACUGAUCUAAAAUCAGCAGGUCUGUCACCUGCCAAAUGAAGGGUCUGGGCCAGAGAAAAGGAUGUCAGUUCGUGGGGUUGGACAGCUUCAGAGAGAACUUGUUCUACUGAAGGAGAUCUGCCUCAGAUCCGUGUCACUUCUUAGAGGUGCACUCACCGAGUAAUUCAAGCUCCCUGGGUAAAGUUCAAGCCAGGCUGGUUGAGAGUUCAAGACCAGCCUAGGGGUUUGCUGUCCUAAGUAACAGUCAGUUCCAACCCCCAACUGCUGCC